GUGGGUUAUGAAGUUGAUUUUGGAAUAAAUAGGUUGAUUGGAAUUGAAUUUAAUCUUUGAGUUUGUGUUAAAUUUGAAAUUGUUGGAUAUUGAGGUUUUGUUGGAUUUGGAUUGUUGAACAUGGUUGUUGGAUUUGUCAUGUUGGAAGUAGAGAGAAUUUGAGAUUGUUAGAGUUGAAAUUGUGAUUUUGCAAAGGAGAGAAAAAUUAAGAAAGAAUGUGGAAUUGUUCUAUUUUGUGGAGGAGUUUGGAGUGGAGAUUGUGUUUUGGAAAAGAGAAUUUAGAGAGGAGUUGAAAUUUAGAGAUGGAAUUGUGAGUGGAAAUAAGGAAGGUUAAAAAUGAAUUUGGAAAUUUUUGGAAAGGAUUUAUAUUAUAAUUUGGUGGAAAAUUUUGUUGAAGGAAGUGAAUUAAAAUUUGUUUAGUUAUCGAAAGGUUCUUGUGAAGAUUUAAAUUAAGUGAGGUCCUUGAACGAUUGAGAAAUCGAAUUAAAAAUCAGUUGAAUAGUUUGAAUUAAAGGGCUUUGAGGGCUUUGAGAUUUUAAGGAAUUAUAGAAUUUAAUCCCAAGUUUAAGUGAGGGAGUUUUAUGACAAUUUGUGAUUAACGGAUGCUUAUUCCGAGGGGAAUGAGUUGACGUAUUGAGCCCUCGAACGAGGAGGACACAGACAGGCAGCAGGGUUAGCUGCGGGAUUCACUUAUUUCAGAUUAGCCGAGAUUGCGUCCAGGCUCAAGGACUUGGAAAUCAGCGCUUCCGUUUUUGCCCGUAGGUUAUUACUUAACCUACCUUGUAUGAUAUCGGCUUAGUUUAGUGUUGCUCUGAUAAACAUUUUCUUGAAGUUUGAUGGAUGUUGUAUUAUGGGUUGUUGUUGCUUACGGAGGAUUAUGUUGGGAUUUGAGCUUUUCGGAUGUAAUAUAUGUGCAUGGAUUGUAAAUUUGAUAUUGUAGGUUGAGUAGAAGAUAUAGUUGAAAUCUUGUCCAGGUUUGUGAAAUUUUGGGUAGCCCAUUUUUAGGGGAGGUUCUGCCGAAUUUUCGGUAGGAUUU
Molecule: long non-coding RNA, 1036 nt
Filed under: Rosa chinensis
Lineage: Eukaryota; Viridiplantae; Streptophyta; Magnoliopsida; Rosales; Rosaceae
Description: sRNA RchiOBHm_Chr2g0123621
Source: RNAcentral